This 335-nucleotide unclassified non-coding RNA is filed under the name soil metagenome. RNAcentral's name for it is "partial contains 5.8S ribosomal RNA, internal transcribed spacer 2, and large subunit ribosomal RNA". The stretch from base 1 to 120 matches the Rfam family "5.8S ribosomal RNA", at positions 35 to 154 of the family's 154-position model. The record is from RNAcentral.
GAUGAAGAACGCAGCGAAAUGCGAUAAGUAAUGUGAAUUGCAGAAUUCAGUGAAUCAUCGAAUCUUUGAACGCACAUUGCGCCCGCCAGUAUUCUGGCGGGCAUGCCUGUUCGAGCGUCAUUUCAACCAUCAAGCCCCAGGCUUGUGUUGGGGACCUGCGGCUGCCGCAGGCCCUGAAAACCAGUGGCGGGCUCGCUGUCACACCGGGCGUAGUAGAUUUUAUCUCGCUCAGGGCGUGCUGCGGGUUCCGGCCGUUAAAAAGCCUUUUUUACCCAAGGUUGACCUCGGAUCAGGUAGGAAUACCCGCUGAACUUAAGCAUAUCAAUAAGCGAGGA